AAACCCAGUGUGAUUCGUCACACUAUCAUUAACUGAAUCCAUAGGUUAAUGAGGCGAACCGGGGGAACUGAAACAUCUAAGUACCCCGAGGAAAAGAAAUCAACCGAGAUUCCCCCAGUAGCGGCGAGCGAACGGGGAGGAGCCCAGAGCCUGAAUCAGCAUGUGUGUUAGUGGAAGCGUCUGGAAAGGCGCGCGAUACAGGGUGACAGCCCCGUACACAAAAGCGCAUGUGCUGUGAGCUCGAUGAGUAGGGCGGGACACGUGGUAUCCUGUCUGAAUAUGGGGGGACCAUCCUCCAAGGCUAAAUACUCCUGACUGACCGAUAGUGAACCAGUACCGUGAGGGAAAGGCGAAAAGAACCCCGGCGAGGGGAGUGAAAAAGAACCUGAAACCGUGUACGUACAAGCAGUGGGAGCACCCUUUGGGUGUGACUGCGUACCUUUUGUAUAAUGGGUCAGCGACUUAUAUUCUGUAGCAAGGUUAACCGAAUAGGGGAGCCGGAGGGAAACCGAGUCUUAACCGGGCGUUAAGUUGCAGGGUAUAGACCCGAAACCCGGUGAUCUAGCCAUGGGCAGGUUGAAGGUUGGGUAACACUAACUGGAGGACCGAACCGACUAAUGUUGAAAAAUUAGCGGAUGACCUGUGGCUGGGGGUGAAAGGCCAAUCAAACCGGGAGAUAGCUGGUUCUCCCCGAAAGCUAUUUAGGUAGCGCCUCGUGAAUUCAUCUCCGGGGGUAGAGCACUGUUUCGGCUAGGGGGCCAUCCCGGCUUACCAACCCGAUGCAAACUGCGAAUACCGGAGAAUGUUAUCACGGGAGACACACGGCGGGUGCUAACGUCCGUCGUGAAGAGGGAAACAACCCAGACCGCCAGCUAAGGUCCCAAAGUCAUGGUUAAGUGGGAAACGAUGUGGGAAGGCCCAGACAGCCAGGAUGUUGGCUUAGAAGCAGCCAUCAUUUAAAGAAAGCGUAAUAGCUCACUGGUCGAGUCGGCCUGCGCGGAAGAUGUAACGGGGCUAAACCAUGCACCGAAGCUGCGGCAGCGACACUGUGUGUUGUUGGGUAGGGGAGCGUUCUGUAAGCCUGUGAAGGUGUGUCGUGAGGCAUGCUGGAGGUAUCAGAAGUGCGAAUGCUGACAUAAGUAACGAUAAAGCGGGUGAAAAGCCCGCUCGCCGGAAGACCAAGGGUUCCUGUCCAACGUUAAUCGGGGCAGGGUGAGUCGACCCCUAAGGCGAGGCCGAAAGGCGUAGUCGAUGGGAAACGGGUUAAUAUUCCCGUACUUGGUGUUACUGCGAAGGGGGGACGGAGAAGGCUAUGUUGGCCGGGCGACGGUUGUCCCGGUUUAAGCGUGUAGGUGUGUGUUCCAGGUAAAUCCGGUUCACUUUAACACUGAGGCGUGACGACGAGGCACUACGGUGCUGAAGCAACAAAUGCCCUGCUUCCAGGAAAA
This 1448-nucleotide ribosomal RNA is filed under the name Salmonella enterica. RNAcentral's name for it is "partial 23S ribosomal RNA". It matches the Rfam family "Bacterial large subunit ribosomal RNA", at positions 124 to 1616 of the family's 2925-position model. Lineage: Bacteria; Pseudomonadati; Pseudomonadota; Gammaproteobacteria; Enterobacterales; Enterobacteriaceae. The record is from RNAcentral.